Long non-coding RNA from Triticum aestivum (bread wheat), 1885 nucleotides. RefSeq lists it as uncharacterized. The record is from RefSeq and is a predicted model, not a curated record. The transcript has 9 exons. Lineage: Eukaryota; Viridiplantae; Streptophyta; Magnoliopsida; Poales; Poaceae.
CACGUAGCCUUAACCGCUUCAGGCAACGGCUGCUUAUGAGGAAUAACAGCAACAAUGAAGUGGGUACAAGCAACACCGGUGUUCUGGCUGUCAAUCAAGACCGGGGUGCUUUGCUAAGGAGCAGGGGGAGCACCUUAGAGCAAAGUUGUCUGAGAUUGAAGCUCAAGCAAAGUCUGACCUCGAGUAUGCCAGAUCGCAUGGAGUUAUCAAACCUAGAGAGGCGAGGCCUGGCUGUACUGGAGUUGACUGUCCACAUGGAGGCAAUGACGAGGAGAGGAAGGAUCGUGUGUGCAACUUAGCUGCGGCUGCGCUGGCUGUAGUGGAGCAAGCUAUGGACAAUCCAGAACUCUUUGAAGGAAUAUUUGACCAGGCCAGAGCGGUGCUUUCGGGACUAGGUGUUGAAGGAUAUACCGAAGAUGUACCUCAGAUGAAUGGAAACGGCAACAAUACACCACAACGUGAAGAGAAUGAUGGGAUCAAUUGGGAAGAUCUAGAGAGGGAGAGCCAGGAACUUGUGGAAGUGGGAAACUGUUAGCCAUGCACUGAUGCACAACUGACCAUCAUCGCCCCUGCUGUCAAUGGUGAUAGCGUUAGCUCAGGGGCUCCUUAUCAUGGAGGGCGUGGAGGAAAUACACGACAGGGUGAUGUGGACAGCAGCAGGAAAUGUCGGUAGAUGGAGGUAUGAUUUCUAUGGUUAAUUUCCUGUACUGGUCUGAAAGCGUUGCACACGAAAAAGGGCAUAUGAAAAAAGCUAAGACUUCCUUCUUGUGUUUCAACAACUGGUAAUGAUUUGAUGGGCGUAUCAUCGCUGGCACCAAGUGAUUAUAUGUAAGAAGAAGAGGAUGGAAUAGAGUUGGACGAUGAGUUCCUGGCUGUGGCAACGCAGGUGCCCAUAGAUUACACAAUGCAUAGCGAGGAACUAAAUAAUGAAAACAAUUUGUUUGGCCUGAAUAACUUAAGGGACAUGCUUGCUGCACUGAAUACAUGCAUCAGAUGGAUAGCAUGGAUAGCAGCAACGAUGUGGUUGGGAGCGCAAGGCCGGGAGAUGAUGAAGAUGAAGACCCUCCUCCCAAUGGGCCAAUCUUAUUGGGUUGGCGUGGCACUGAAUACUGAGAAGAUGCCCGUCCCAGCAGACAAGAACUUCUUGACCGAGUCCAGCAUGCGACCCGUCCGCACGCACUAGAUGUUCAGACAUCAUGUCGUUCUGCACCUUCCUUUCAUCGUGAUGGCAGAGAUGGUGGUGACGAUCAACCUCCUGGGAGUGGGAUGACAUUGCCAGAGGGUGGGUCAGCGUCUCGCUUUCAUCAAGCAAUUAUCAAGCAUCUUCAUGCCUGUGCACACCAUGAGAAAACACCUACCAGUGUGGAAGCCGGUGAGCAUGCAACCGAGCGUGGUGAUGCAAGAGAGCUUGGACCGCAUGUCACACCUCGUCCGCGAGCCUUGGACGUGCAAACAAAUUGCCGUCCUGGACCUUCAUUCCGUCGUGAUGGUGCUGAUGGCGGCGACAGGAAGGCUCCUACCAAGAUGUUGCCAUCUGGAGCUGGUGGUUCAACCUCUCGUUUCCAGCAAGCAGUUCAGAACUAUCUGCAACGAUGUGGGAUUAAAUACACAGUGAAUACCACGGGUAAAACACAUGAUGUAGCGCGUGAAGAUGGAUACACAAAUGAGAAGAUCACUGUUAGGAGAGAUUGGGGGGAUAAGUACCCCCCCCCCUCAAUUGGCCUGAACCAUAGGGAACCUCCAGCUGCGGCCAUCUCCAAAUUUAAUAGUAACAUGCUAGCAUGUGAAGGUGGAAUGCUGAAAAGGAAAUGGGUUAAACACUACUGUCCAAUUCUUGCGGUGGCAUCUGGGCAGGAUAUCAAGAUGAACUGACCCGGGGGGGGGA